GAUCACUCGGUCAGAGUCCAUCCUGAGGCCCUGAUGUGGAGGUAGCCACCAUUUGUGAGCAUGCCCCUUCUCCCGAUGACCACUGGGUGUUCUGGUGAACCGUGAACUGGACCUGCACUGAAGGUGGCUGUGAGGAUCCCCUGGGGUGCAGCUUCACCCCCCUCAUCAGCUGAGAAGGCGUUCUGUCAGGUUCAUGCAGCAUACCCACAACAGGCCGGGGCAAGUGGUGCCCAACAUGGGGCCUGACUACAAGAGAGCUCAUUGGACAAGUUGGGGGAACGCUCUCCAAGGACGAGUCCACAAGGAAAAUGAGCAUUUUUAAGUUGUCAGAAUAUCAUCUAUAGUCCAGCCAGAACUAAAAAU
Long non-coding RNA from Castor canadensis (American beaver), 363 nucleotides. RefSeq lists it as uncharacterized. NCBI's taxonomy places the organism in Eukaryota, Metazoa, Chordata, Mammalia, Rodentia, Castoridae. The record is from RefSeq and is a predicted model, not a curated record.